AUGUCCCCCCAGUGCCUCAGUGUCCCCCCCCUGUGCUGCAGUGCCCCCUCUAUGCUCCGGUUUCCUCCCUGUGCCCCCGUGUCUCAGUGCGGGGCUCGCUCCACCAGGACACCUCGAGGUGGGGUGGGGAGAGGGCGGUGUGCUGCUACCCGGCAUGGAGGGAGAGGAAGAAGAGGAGGAGGAGGGAAGCGAAGGAGGGCGGUGGUUCUGUCCCACCCCCCACCCCGUGCAGGGGAGGAGGAGGGCGGGCAGCGGCCGGGGGCGGCUCGGGCCCCCCCGGAGGGAGGCGGGGAAGGCGGCGGACGGACGGAGCGGAGCGUCCGGAGCUCAGAGCCCGGCCCGAGCCGCACCGAGCCCGGCAGGCAGCUGAAUCGGCCCCAAGCUGCUGCCAUGGGCACCAUGUGGGGGCUCUGGGCCCUCAUCCUGGUGGGCCUCAUUGGUGCCUGCAAUGGGAUGGAGAUGACAGCAGAGGAAGGAGCACCGUGCCCACGGCUCUGGGAUGAGGACCUGGUUGGGAACAAAUAUGAGAACGUGACGGGUAAGGAAAUGGUGACGGGGCUUGGCUCUGCAAUGGGCUGCGUACCCACAGCGGUGCCCUCACCCCCUCCAUCCCGCAGGCUUUAA
RNAcentral lists this long non-coding RNA (624 nucleotides) under Coturnix japonica (Japanese quail). RNAcentral's name for it is "lncRNA (ENSCJPG00005017282.1)". The record is from RNAcentral. Lineage: Eukaryota; Metazoa; Chordata; Aves; Galliformes; Phasianidae.